AAAUGAUUUGCAACGGUUGCGUCCGGUGUAGAAUCAACUAAUUCAGAGAGCUGCGUAGUAAAACAAGAUCUUACCAGCCUCCAGAUAUGUGGGUGGUGGUCCUGGUACAUAUGGUGGUCCCAGAGUUGGUCCAGUCGGAAUGGGUUGCAAUCCAUAAGCUGGGAGAAGGUUAUUAGCCUGGUAAGGCAGCAGGAGAUGAACACAAUAAAGGCCAUCACGAAAAACACUAUGGUCAC
Molecule: long non-coding RNA, 236 nt
Organism: Sinocyclocheilus rhinocerous
Lineage: Eukaryota; Metazoa; Chordata; Actinopteri; Cypriniformes; Cyprinidae
Exons: 3
Source: RefSeq, a predicted model, not a curated record